UGGGGAAUAUUGCACAAUGGGCGCAAGCCUGAUGCAGCCAUGCCGCGUGUAUGAAGAAGGCCUUCGGGUUGUAAAGUACUUUCAGCGGGGAGGAAGGGAGUAAAGUUAAUACCUUUGCUCAUUGACGUUACCCGCAGAAGAAGCACCGGCUAACUCCGUGCCAGCAGCCGCGGUAAUACGGAGGGUGCAAGCGUUAAUCGGAAUUACUGGGCGUAAAGCGCACGCAGGCGGUUUGUUAAGUCAGAUGUGAAAUCCCCGGGCUCAACCUGGGUACUGCAUUCGAAACUGGCAGGCUAGAGUCUUGUAGAGGAGGGUAGAAUUCCAGGUGGAGCGGUGAAAUGCGUAGAGAUCUGGAGGAAUACCGGUGGCGAAGGCGGCCCCCUGGACAAAGACUGACGCUCAGGUGCGAAAGCGUGGGGAGCAAACAGG
RNAcentral lists this ribosomal RNA (429 nucleotides) under Chloroflexota bacterium. Its description in RNAcentral is "Chloroflexi bacterium partial 16S ribosomal RNA". It matches the Rfam family "Bacterial small subunit ribosomal RNA", at positions 355 to 776 of the family's 1533-position model. The record is from RNAcentral. Lineage: Bacteria; Bacillati; Chloroflexota.